GACGAACGCUGGCGGCGUGCUUAACACAUGCAAGUCGAGCGGAAAGGCCCUGCUUUUGUGGGGUGCUCGAGUGGCGAACGGGUGAGUAACACGUGAGUAACCUGCCCUUGACUUUGGGAUAACUUCAGGAAACUGGGGCUAAUACCGGAUAGGAGCUCCUGCUGCAUGGUGGGGGUUGGAAAGUUUCGGCGGUUGGGGAUGGACUCGCGGCUUAUCAGCUUGUUGGUGGGGUAGUGGCUUACCAAGGCUUUGACGGGUAGCCGGCCUGAGAGGGUGACCGGCCACAUUGGGACUGAGGUACGGCCCAGACUCCUACGGGAGGCAGCAGGGGGGAAUAUGACACAAUGGGCGGAAGCCUGAUGCAGCAACGCCGCGUGCGGGAUGACGGCCUUCGGGUUGUAAACCGCUUUCGCCUGUGACGAAGCGUGAGUGACGGUAAUGGGUAAAGAAGCACCGGCUAACUACGUG
RNAcentral lists this ribosomal RNA (468 nucleotides) under uncultured bacterium. RNAcentral's name for it is "partial 16S ribosomal RNA". It matches the Rfam family "Bacterial small subunit ribosomal RNA", at positions 28 to 507 of the family's 1533-position model. The record is from RNAcentral.